Molecule: ribosomal RNA, 47 nt
Filed under: Gongora sp. SRR-2011
Lineage: Eukaryota; Viridiplantae; Streptophyta; Magnoliopsida; Asparagales; Orchidaceae
Description: partial 26S ribosomal RNA
Source: RNAcentral
GUGACCCCAGGAUGGGCGAGGCCACCCGCCGAGUUUAAGCAUAUCUA